GUCAGCUCGUGCCGUGAGGUGUCGGCUUAAGUGCCAUAACGAGCGCAACCCCUGUUCUCAGUUGCCAUCGGGUAAUGCCGGGCACUCUGUGAAGACUGCCUCCGCAAGGAGUGAGGAAGGUGGGGAUGACGUCAAAUCAGCACGGCCCUUACGUCCGGGGCUACACACGUGUUACAAUGGCAUGUACAGAAAGCUGGCCGUAUGCAAAUACGGUCGAAUCCCUAAAACAUGUCUCAGUUCGGACUGGGGUCUGCAACCCGACCCCACGAAGCUGGAUUCGCUAGUAAUCGCGCAUCAGCCAUGGCGCGGUGAAUACGUUCCCGGGCCUUGUACACACCGCCCGUCAAGCCAUGAAAGCCGGGGGCGCCUGAAGUCCGUAACCGCAAGGAUCGGCCUAGGGUGAAACCGGUGAUUGGGGCUAAGUCGUAACAAGGUAGCCGUACCGGAAGGUGCGGCUGGAACACCUCCUUU
This 471-nucleotide ribosomal RNA is filed under the name Leyella stercorea. RNAcentral describes it as "bacterial SSU rRNA". It matches the Rfam family "Bacterial small subunit ribosomal RNA", at positions 1054 to 1533 of the family's 1533-position model. The record is from RNAcentral. Lineage: Bacteria; Pseudomonadati; Bacteroidota; Bacteroidia; Bacteroidales; Prevotellaceae.